ACCUAGCAAUAGGUAUGCUUAGGGAAGAGCUUGCGUCACAUUAGUUAGUUGGUGGGGUAAUGGCCUACCAAGACGAUGAUGUGUAGCCGGGCUGAGAGGUCGAACGGCCACAUUGGGACUGAGACACGGCCCAAACUCCUACGGGAGGCAGCAGUAAGGAAUUUUCGGCAAUGGAGGAAACUCUGACCGAGCAAUGCCGCGUGAACGAUGAAGUAUUUCGGUACGUAAAGUUCUUUUAUUAGGGAAGAAAAGAUGGUGGAAAAACCAUUAUGACGGUACCUAAUGAAUAAGCCCCGGCUAACUAUGUGCCAGCAGCCGCGGUAAUACAUAGGGGGCAAGCGUUAUCCGGAAUUAUUGGGCGUAAAGGGUGCGUAGGCGGUUAAAUAAGUUUAUGGUCUAAGUGCAACGCUCAACGUUGUGAUGCUAUAAAAACUGUUUAGCUAGAGUUGGAUAGAGGCAAGUGGAAUUCCGUGUGUAGUGGUAAAAUGCGUAAAUAUACGGAGGAACACCAGAAGCGAAGGCGGCUUGCUGGGUCUUAACUGACGCUGAGGCACGAAAGCGUGGGGAGCAAACAGGAUUAGAUACCCUGGUAGUCCACGCCCUAAACGAUGAGUACUAAACGUUGGAUAAAACCAGUGUUGAAGUUAACACAUUAAGUACUCCGCCUGAGUAGUACGUACGCAAGUAUGAAACUUAAAGGAAUUGACGGGACUCCGCACAAGCGGUGGAUCAUGUUGUUUAAUUCGAAGGUACCCGAAAAACCUCACCAGGUCUUGACAUGCUUUUGCAAAGCUGUAGAAAUACAGUGGAGGUUAUCAGAAGCACAGGUGGUGCAUGGUUGUCGUCAGCUCGUGUCGUGAGAUGUUGGGUUAAGUCCCGCAACGAGCGCAACCCUUGUUGUUAAUUGCCAUCAUUAAGUUGGGGACUUUAGCAAGACUGCCAAUGAUAAAUUGGAGGAAGGUGGGGACGACGUCAAAUCAUCAUGCCCCUUAUGACCUGGGCUACAAACGUGAUACAAUGGCUGUUACAAAGGGUAGCUAAAGCGUAAGCUUCUGGCGAAUCUCAAAAAAGCAGUCUCAGUUCGGAUUGAAGUCUGCAACUCGACUUCAUGAAGUUGGAAUCGCUAGUAAUCGCGAAUCAGCA
Molecule: ribosomal RNA, 1143 nt
Filed under: Candidatus Phytoplasma solani
Lineage: Bacteria; Bacillati; Mycoplasmatota; Mollicutes; Acholeplasmatales; Acholeplasmataceae
Description: bacterial SSU rRNA
Rfam family: Bacterial small subunit ribosomal RNA
Source: RNAcentral